GUGCUCUCUUUGGCAGCACAUAUACCAAAAUUGGAAUGAUACAGACAAGAUUAGCAUGGUCCCUGUGCAAGGAUGACAUGCAAAUUUGUGGUGUUCCACAUUUUUAU
Equus asinus (donkey) is the source of this 107-nucleotide small nuclear RNA. The record is from Ensembl. Lineage: Eukaryota; Metazoa; Chordata; Mammalia; Perissodactyla; Equidae.